CUGGACCUGACAACUCCACCCCCACCUGCCACCACCUGGACAAAGCAGAAACUAUAUUCGACAAAUGAGGCAAGAAAAAGAGUCCAUGGUUGACUGGUCGUAAGGUGAAGGCGAAGGCUGUGUCCAGGGGAGCUGGAACGAGGAACCAGAAACCUUUCAAAAUGAGACUGUUUCACAGCCAUGAUGAUCUGACUUCCUGCUGGGCAAGUCUUGUGGUGCGACCUAUGAUGUUGUUGCUGAAGGAGACAGGCCAACCUGAAGCCCCUGGAGGAACAGGAGGUCCUUGCUGUGAUGUGGAGACCUCAUCCUGCGACUCUGACCCUGAAAUCAAUACCUUCAUUUAUGGUCCACCACCUUCAAUCAAUUCUGCCCCCCAUCUCUUCUCUACGAUGGACUGCCUCUGACUGGACACAUAACAGAGAGACUCAACUGGACAGGAGGAGCCAUAACCUCAACACCAGCACAGUGUCACCUGUCAUCUCUCUCCAGGGACCACGCUACAUCCAGGUUAGUUAGCCUUGGCCUGGACAUUCCCUGACCACAUGUCAGCCUCAACCCCUCACACCCCACUGGACUACAGCGAGGGACACCUCAACAUGCCCACCAACUACCAGCAUCACUGCAAACAGCAGAUAACACUGAGUAACUAUAUGAAUUUGCUGGUGUGCUUGAAGAAUAGCCGGAGCAUCCUUCUCUUCCUCUUCUGACUGAUUGGCUGUCAUUUUUCUGCACCUUGCUUUG
This is a long non-coding RNA of Siniperca chuatsi (mandarin fish), 741 nucleotides long. RefSeq lists it as uncharacterized. The transcript is spliced from 4 exons. The record is from RefSeq and is a predicted model, not a curated record. Lineage: Eukaryota; Metazoa; Chordata; Actinopteri; Centrarchiformes; Sinipercidae.